AUACAUGCAGUCGAGCGGAGAUUUUGGAGCUUGCUCCAAAAUCUUAGCGGCGGACGGGUGAGUAACACGUGGGCAACCUGCCCUGCAGAUCGGGAUAACUCCGGGAAACCGGUGCUAAUACCGAAUAGUUUGCGGCCUCUCCUGAGGCUGCACGGAAAGACGGUUUCGGCUGUCACUGCAGGAUGGGCCCGCGGCGCAUUAGCUAGUUGGUGGGGUAAUGGCCCACCAAGGCGACGAUGCGUAGCCGACCUGAGAGGGUGAUCGGCCACACUGGGACUGAGACACGGCCCAGACUCCUACGGGAGGCAGCAGUAGGGAAUCUUCCGCAAUGGACGAAAGUCUGACGGAGCAACGCCGCGUGAGUGACGAAGGUUUUCGGAUCGUAAAACUCUGUUGUGAGGGAAGAACAAGUACCAACUAACUACUGGUACCUUGACGGUACCUCACCAGAAAGCCACGGCUAACUACGUGCCAGCAGCCGCGGUAAUACGUAGGUGGCAAGCGUUGUCCGGAAUUAUUGGGCGUAAAGCGCGCGCAGGCGGUCCCUUAAGUCUGAUGUGAAAGCCCACGGCUCAACCGUGGAGGGUCAUUGGAAACUGGGGGACUUGAGUGCAGAAGAGGAAAGUGGAAUUCCAUGUGUAGCGGUGAAAUGCGUAGAGAUGUGGAGGAACACCAGUGGCGAAGCGACUUUCUGGUCUGUAACUGACGCUGA
RNAcentral lists this ribosomal RNA (712 nucleotides) under uncultured bacterium. Its description in RNAcentral is "bacterial SSU rRNA". It matches the Rfam family "Bacterial small subunit ribosomal RNA", at positions 51 to 749 of the family's 1533-position model. The record is from RNAcentral.